This 69-nucleotide transfer RNA is filed under the name Trioza anthrisci. Its description in RNAcentral is "tRNA-Gln". Lineage: Eukaryota; Metazoa; Arthropoda; Insecta; Hemiptera; Triozidae. The record is from RNAcentral.
AUGUUUAGGUGAUUUUCAUAUGAAUUUUUGAAAUUCAAGGAUUUUAAUUAUGUAUUAAAAAAACAUAAG